This 563-nucleotide ribosomal RNA is filed under the name uncultured Alphaproteobacteria bacterium. RNAcentral's name for it is "bacterial SSU rRNA". It matches the Rfam family "Bacterial small subunit ribosomal RNA", at positions 107 to 704 of the family's 1533-position model. The record is from RNAcentral. Lineage: Bacteria; Pseudomonadati; Pseudomonadota; Alphaproteobacteria.
UGCGUAACGCGUGGGAAUCUGCCCUUGGGUACGGAAUAACUCAGAGAAAUUUGUGCUAAUACCGUAUAAUGUCCUCGGACCAAAGAUUUAUCGCCCAAGGAUGAGCCCGCGUAGGAUUAGCUAGUUGGUGAGGUAAAAGCUCACCAAGGCGACGAUCCUUAGCUGGUCUGAGAGGAUGAUCAGCCACACUGGGACUGAGACACGGCCCAGACUCCUACGGGAGGCAGCAGUGGGGAAUAUUGGACAAUGGGCGAAAGCCUGAUCCAGCAAUGCCGCGUGAGUGAUGAAGGCCUUAGGGUUUGUAAAGCUCUUUUACCCGGGAUGAUAAUGACAGUACCGGGAGAAUAAGCUCCGGCUAACUCCGUGCCAGCAGCCGCGGUAAUACGGAGGGAGCUAGCGUUGUUCGGAAUUACUGGGCGUAAAGCGCGCGUAGGCGGUUUUUUAAGUCAGAGGUGAAAGCCCAGUGCUCAACACUGGAACUGCCUUUGAAACUGGAAAACUUGAAUCUUGGAGAGGUCAGUGGAAUUCCGAGUGUAGAGGUGAAAUUCGUAGAUAUUCGGAAG